CUGGAAAGCCGAGCUGGGCCAACCACCUCUCAGAGCAGGAGAAUAAGGAGGGGGUUUGGGUACUUCCAACAGAGUCAAGUGUCAGUUAAAAGAAGGGUUGCCGAGGAGUGGGAGGACUCUAUUGGAGCAGAACAGAGAGGACCAUAGGCAAGAGAGGGAGGACUGGGGAGAAGGAAGAAAGAAGAGUGGAGAAGAAAAGGAAGAAAGAAUAUUUCAAGAAUAAAGAACAUUGGGAAAGAGGAGCACCUCAUCCUGGGGGAGCCAACAUGAAGAGAACCAUAAAGAACCUUUAUGAAGAGAAGAUGCUAGAACUUUAAGAAGCCCCCUAUGGCAGCUUUAACUCAGGCUCAUGAGUAUUUCCAAGAAAUAUUUCAUUUUUCUGUGUCUUCCUCUUUAUAAACUGAAAUGUUUACUGGUUGGAUUCCAUUUCAAAGUUAAAAUUCCAAUGUGAUGAAGCUGAGAUGGAGAUCUGAGCUGAGUCUCACUUUAGAAUGAUCCAAAUUCCCUAUCCAUGCCAAUGUAUGCCUCUGUGUGUGGGGGCUCUCUCUCUCUCUCUCUCUCUCUCUCUCUCUCUCUCUCUCUCUCACACACACACACACACACAUACACGAGCAUUAACAGUAAUUUCUAGUUGCCUUUGAAUUUUCAACUCCAUGAAACAUCAUAUUUAACUAUUCUACACCCCAAAGUCUAAAUGGUUCCUCCAAUCAAACAGUCCAGCCUAGCACAAUACCCCCUCUCAGACAGCCAAAGGCAUAGAUAUGGACAAACAAAGUGCAACUGUGUUAAAGUUGUUUAAUAGCCCGCCAAUGUGCAGCCCACCCAAAGGAGUAGGGCAUAGGAGAAGGAAUGGGGUGGGAGAGCUGGCAGAGACACCCCAAUAAAUAGCCAACACACAUUCAGAAUCAAAGCUAAAGAAGGUCUUUGUUUAACAUACUUGGGAUAAGAGCACAGUGUGACCUAAUGAUAUAGACUCAAGUAAGCAUCAGCACUCCCCAGGGAGAGAGAAGACUGAUAUCUGAAGGAGACAGGCAGAUGGAUGACUGCUGCCAUGGAGACUGUUAUCUGUCAGCACCAAGCUCUGAGAGUUUCUAACAUUUUGGGAACUGUGAGGCAAGUGAGGAGGUAUUACCAGUCUCUUAAUAUCCUAAGAGGUUUGUGGGUAUAGCUAGACUCUUAGCAUCCUGAAAUGGUUGCCCAGCGGCAGGAAGUUAAAUUUUCAGUGGCCUGGCAAAAGUAAAGGGUGUUGGUUGGGAGUGGGAGAAUAUAGAACUGUCUGGCAAAAAUGGCCUGAAGCUGAGGAAGAGAGUUCUUAACAAAGAUCCAUUGAUAAUGAAGAAUUUCAGAGAGGAGGCAAAGAAGAUAUUAAUGGAAACCACAGAUGGGGUGUGAGAUCAAGUGGCCCCAAUACAAACAGUGCUCUGGGUUCUCAUCUAUAAACUUGUGUGGAAACCUGUGCUUCUUACUCUUUGUUACAUGUGCAAAUCAGCUGAAUUCUACAGGAAGAUGUGCUCCCUUCCCAUUACAUCCUAGGAAAGACUCAGCAGAGAGACGUUUUGAAGCGAAACAACAACCUUUUGUUUGGAAUUAUCAAUGCCUGCUCUACUAAACUUUCGGAACAAGCUAGCACUGAAUUUUACAAGCUCACCUUCUUGGGGGGAUAUCCUAAUGAAGAGGAAAAAACAACCCAAGGAGGUUUUAUGUAAUUCAAAAGCUGGGAAGCCAGCUACUGAAUAACUGAACUUGUUGGUCAGGCUUUAUGCUAGUUAGUGAGCCCACCAGUCCUAUGAAUACCACAGCUAUUGAGGGGAUGUACAGCUAGACCUUAGAAAUCCUCAAAGCCCCUAACAAGCCCCAGCACUCCAAACACAGAUUCCAGUAUUUGACAGAUGACUUCUUUAAAUCAAACGCACAGUGCCCAGGCCAGUCUUCUCCUUGCAUAGUGCAGUCUGUGCUGUGUAUAUGCUCUGUGUUUGCUUCAUCCAUGCUUAAAGAAAGACCUGCCUUGCUUCCUAACAAUGGGUGGGAAAUGAGGCUCCUUGUCUGUAAUAUCACUCACUGGAAGCAGAAUUAAGACAAUAUUUCUACUACAGUUCCUGGGAAAAGUGUCGGUGGAAUGGUUUUUAGGUUCCGAGUUUAGAAAUUAAAAAAUGGCGCAAUAAUUAGGUGAAAUCUAUUUAAGUUUUAAUGGAGGUUGUUUGCUUUGCUGCCUUGACUGCUGAAUAAGCAUGCUUUUGAAAUCCCAUAAGAAUCACCGAGGAAAAUAAAAAGGCUCCCAUUUUUGUGAUGUUCCUGGAUGCUACUGAGGUAGAAUAAACAACCCUUUGAAUCAA
Long non-coding RNA from Mesocricetus auratus (golden hamster), 2333 nucleotides. RefSeq lists it as uncharacterized. NCBI's taxonomy places the organism in Eukaryota, Metazoa, Chordata, Mammalia, Rodentia, Cricetidae. The transcript is spliced from 3 exons. The record is from RefSeq and is a predicted model, not a curated record.